GUUUUAUUUAUUCUUUAAUAUCUUAACAUAGAUUAUUUGAGUGUUUUUGUUGACCAUGAUAAUGAAGGAAAAAGGUAUGAAAUCAAACACACUACAAAUCCUGUUGCUGUAAAUUAUAAUUCCUCUUUAUUUUGUCGUAAAGGUGUACAAACAUUUGCAACUCGGCUCAACGGGUAUAUUUCUAUAAUGUUGCAUUUUAUUCGAUUUUUACACACAUGAACACAACAAACAGAAUCAAAAUGUGAACAAAUACACAGAACAAAAUAAACACACUUUGUUUUUAUAUCAGUAAUCAUUCAAAUGUAAUAAAGACAAAUUAUUAUAAAGAACUAAAGACGCAGGCUUUGCGUUGUGUGGUGCUGAGUGCCGAACAGAUCAACAGACGUCAUCACUGGGAGACUCGGGCUGCGUCCCAAACCACAUACAAGCCCACGGCCUACCUCUUAACUACCUACAAAACCUAUUCAACAUGAGUCUAUGCAUUAACACUCGCCCUCUAUUUAACACAGUAGUAAGCAUUUGGGAUGUAGUCUAAAUCCUAUAUAAACACCAUCACACUGCUUACUGUGGUUCGGGACACAGCCUCAAUCCUACAGAAUCACACAUGCACACUAGUUAGUAAGCUAGUAUGCAGUUUAGGACAUAGUCUUACUCCUAAAACUGAAUAUCUACUAACACUAACUAGCACGCUAGUUACUAGUGUAGUGUGUGUUUUGGGAGAAAGCCUGAAUAAAUACAACCUACACAAUAUUUAGUACAGUAAAGUGUAGAUUGGAACACAGCCCAAAUCCUAUAAAUCAUAUAACUGAACACUUGUGCACUAUUUGUACUGUAAUAUGUGGUUUGGGACGGAGGUAAGAAGUACUUCUCUGUGGCGUGUCUUUACUUCGUCGUAGCGAACAGGGCUGAUCACAUGACCUCUGUGUGUAAUUGCUGAUCACACUCAAUAUAAAUCUCUGUACUGCGUAUGUUAUAUACAUCUAUCUGUACAUCUGUUUAUUCACAUCUGUAUUCUUCUCAUUGCAUCGACGAGCCGUACAGUACGCGGGCGCUUCACCUGGAAUAAAACACAAGGUAGCUAGGAGUCUGCAGCGUCUGAUAUGCAAAUGAGCAGCAGUCGGCUAGUUAGGAGGCGGAGCAAGGGUCGCAUGCAGAUGACGUAUAAUCGUUCUCAGUAUUCUGCUCUGCUCUGCUCCUGAUACUUUCAAGUGUAAGAUGUUCCUGGAAGGGCAUUUCCUUUUAGCCAAUCACUGCCUCAGACCCCGCCCACUACUGAGCCACAGCAGAAUAGCUGAAUUACCGUCUCGUAAUUCUGCUUCAAUUCACUCAGCGUUAUAUUCAGUGUUGAGGUAAGUGCUCAGUCAGGAAGCCACACACAGACUCAUUAAUAUUCACAUGGAGCGGAGUUUGUCUAAACUAGAGCCGUGUCUCGGGUGCAAAGGAUUCUGACCUUGAAUUUAAGCACAUUUUUUCUUAUGAGAUAUCGACUCGAGCAAGCGUUUUGAAGCUGGUCUGGACGCUGUUGUCUCAGACUCUUCAACUCAAGACAAAUAUGGCUCCCUCGGAGGUGUGAAAUACACGUGAAUUACAUGAAUUACGUGAAUUACAUUUUAAUCAUCUGAAUGCAGAGCUCAGAAAAUCCAGCUGUGUAACCCGACCCUGAACACCAGCAACUUUCCUCACGUGAACACGGACGCAACGUUUGGACCUGAAGCUGCCGAAUCUGGGGUCCGGGUCCUGCAUUCUGCACUGGUGGGAUCCCCCCCUGAGCUGCCACCAGAUUGGUCAGUGAUUAAUAUCACGUCUUUUUUUUUAACUCCGUGUGUUUUUAUUUUUUUAAAUGUAAAUUUUCUGGCUUCAUCAGCAGUAGCACUUUGUAAAAGCCAUCAGCUUGAUGGAGGAGUUCCUGUAAAAUGUGCUGGUGUUUAAGGAAAAAAAAACUAAGGUUGCUUGUUUAGUGUAUUUUACUCAAAUUUAUGGAUAAUAUACUUUUCUUUUUUAUGAAUGUGUGAAAAGUGAAAAUGACAAUCUGCAUAGUAAAGCAAUGAAGAGAUUCACACACACACACACACACACACAUAUUAUAGACAAAAUUUAUACUAUAGUUAUUAAUUUUUUUUAAUGGAUAAUAAAUGAUUAUAUAUAAUUUAUCCUGUUUUCAUGUUUCACAUCAUGACAAAGUGAUCUAGAGAAACGCCUCCUGAUGUCCCUGAAUAUUGCCUUAUUUCUCAAAAUAAAGAGUAUAUUUUGAUCAUAAUCAGACUAAAUUAUUAUUAUUAUUAUUAUUAUUAUUAUUAUUAUUAUUAUUAUUACUAAUGCUUGUUUACAGUAGUUUAUUGCUAUGGCUGCUUGUUGUUUCCGACUUGUUUAAAGAGUUAACAGGACGUGAAGCACCGAGUCUGUGCUGAUAUUAAAGUCUCACCUUACAUGAUGACAUUUUGAAGUAAUCAGAUUUUAAUGGAGCUCAUGUCCAGUGAGGCUCUGAGGUGAGAUCAUGAAUAUUAAUGAAUCAGUACACAGAGCUGACACGUGAUUGGCUGAUUGUACAUGUAUCUACCCUCAGCUCCAGAAUUAACAGUGCAAGAACUGUGACACGAGGUUUUUAUUCCUUUUCUUUACCCGAUAAUUGUAUUGUUUUAGAUUAAGCUAAUGAACCACAAAGACGAGUUGUUUAUUUUUUAAAACAAUCUUUACCAAGUGUGCCAAUAAUUCUGGAGCUGACUGUUAUCUUCAGAACUUCCAGAUUUGCAUCUAAUCUCCCAAAUCGCCUGGGAAUCUAAACUGAAUCUAAUUUUUCAUCUGAUUUUCCAAACAUAGCAUUUUGUCUUAAUAAUCUAAAGCCUAAAUUUGUGCCUAAUUUUUCCAUUCUACAACGUACCAAAUCUAUCACAUUGCGUCUAAUCUUCAGACUCGAUCAAUGCGAUAUCUUCCGACUGCAUACAUUUGCAUCUGAUCUUCUGAAACUAAAGAUUCCAGUGUAAUCUUCUGAAUGUUUAAAGUUAACAUCUCACGUUCCACAUAUAAUUUUCUGUCUAAUUUCCCCAUUUAAAAAUUCAUGUCUAAUCUUCUGAAAUAUCAAUUUGUGAUUCUAAAACACAUCUUACAAUUCUAGGGUUUUUUUUUUUAAAACAUAACGUUUAACCUUUCAAGUUUAUAAUUUUUUAUGUAUCUACAUUUAUAUUCUUUUAUAUUUGGAAUAACUUUCUAAUCUAUGCAUGCACGUCUGAUCUUACACAGCUAUACUUCCACAUGUAUGAAAUGUAAUAUUUCUUUCUAAUGAAAUUCCAAUCUCAGUAUUUCCAUCAUUUAUAUAGAAUCAGUAAUAUUUAUGAUCUGCUUCAGAGCCUGCACUGGUUAGGAGGAGUAUUAUGGGAUGGAUUUCUCCUUUAGAAGACACCGUGGAGAUUUUAUGGUGAUGAGAAUAUCAUAUAGCUGAUUAUCAGCGUAAUCUCCGUGCUAUUGCACUGCAUACCAUCACACAGUAC
This is a long non-coding RNA of Ictalurus punctatus (channel catfish), 3485 nucleotides long. The record is from Ensembl. Lineage: Eukaryota; Metazoa; Chordata; Actinopteri; Siluriformes; Ictaluridae.